CCUACGGGAGGCUGCAGUGAGGAAUAUUGGUCAAUGGACGAGAGUCUGAACCAGCCAAGUAGCGUGAAGGAUGACUGCCCUAUGGGUUGUAAACUUCUUUUAUAUGGGAAUAAAAUGUUCCACGUGUGGGAUUUUGUAUGUACCAUAUGAAUAAGGAUCGGCUAACUCCGUGCCAGCAGCCGCGGUAAUACGGAGGAGCCGAGCGUUAUCCGGAUUUAUUGGGUUUAAAGGGAGCGUAGGUGGAUUGUUAAGUCAGUUGUGAAAGUUUGCGGCUCAACCGUAAAAUUGCAGUUGAAACUGGCAGUCUUGAGUACAGUAGAGGUGUGCGGAAUUCGUGGUGUAGCGGUGAAAUGCUUAGAUAUCACGAAGAACUCCGAUUGCGAAGGCAGUUCACUGGACUGCAACUGACACUGAGGCUCGAAAGUGUGGGUAUCAAACAGGAUUAGAUACCCCUGUAGUC
This 460-nucleotide ribosomal RNA is filed under the name uncultured bacterium. RNAcentral describes it as "partial 16S ribosomal RNA". It matches the Rfam family "Bacterial small subunit ribosomal RNA", at positions 338 to 795 of the family's 1533-position model. The record is from RNAcentral.